RNAcentral lists this ribosomal RNA (274 nucleotides) under uncultured bacterium. Its description in RNAcentral is "partial 16S ribosomal RNA". It matches the Rfam family "Bacterial small subunit ribosomal RNA", at positions 523 to 796 of the family's 1533-position model. The record is from RNAcentral.
AUACGGAGGGCGCGAACGUUGCUCGGAAUCAUUGGGCGUAAAGCGCACGUAGGCGGCCUGAUAAGUCGGAUGUGAAAGCCCACGGCUCAACCGUGGAAGUGCAUUCGAAACUGUCAGGCUUGAGUAUGGGAGAGGGUUGCGGAAUUCCCGGUGUAGAGGUGAAAUUCGUAGAUAUCGGGAGGAACACCAGCGGCGAAGGCGGCAGCCUGGACCAAUACUGACGCUGAGGUGCGAAAGCGUGGGGAGCAAACAGGAUUAGAUACCCUAGUAGUCC